This 259-nucleotide ribosomal RNA is filed under the name uncultured Staphylococcus sp. Its description in RNAcentral is "partial 16S ribosomal RNA". It matches the Rfam family "Bacterial small subunit ribosomal RNA", at positions 103 to 354 of the family's 1533-position model. The record is from RNAcentral. Lineage: Bacteria; Bacillati; Bacillota; Bacilli; Caryophanales; Staphylococcaceae.
CGGGUGAGUAACACGUGGAUAACCUACCUAUAAGACUGGGAUAACUUCGGGAAACCGGAGCUAAUACCGGAUAAUAUAUUGAACCGCAUGGUUCAAUAGUGAAAGACGGUUUUGCUGUCACUUAUAGAUGGAUCCGCGCCGCAUUAGCUAGCUGGUAAGGUAGCGGCUUACCAAGGCAACGAUGCGUAGCCGACCUGAGAGGGUGAUAGGCCACACUGGAACUGAGACACGGUCCAGACUCCUACGGGAGGCAGCAGGC